UGCUUUAAGUCACUAGGUAUGUUACGUGGGUUUGUCUUCCUUAGGGUGGAGUUAGUGGAACCGAAAAAGAUGUCUCCCUCACAGCGUUUGUGACAAAAGAAUUGCAUCGUUCCUUGGCGGCCUUUCAACAGAAGAAUAUUCAGAGAUUUCACGAGUGUUGAUUUCCCAAAGUGGAGCAUCUCACAUUUAAUGGAUUAAAAUCCACUUGCCGUUUCUGCAACUGAUCUGGAGGCAACACACAGCCCUGGUAUCUCAAAUGUGGCUACAGAAACUAUGCCCCCAACGAAUGAGUCUCCAACCACGAUCACUCACUUGGAUUUACCUGACCCUGUCCCACAGCAGGGCGGUUUGUACAACGGACCUGGCUACUGCUGAUUAUAUAACCGUUCCAGUUUGGUUUUAGAUCAGUGUUAACCUUGAUGAAGUGGAUAGCCAAGCACCUCAGUGGUCUACAGUACAGGAGAAAUAAAUUCUGAAGCUCACGGAUUCUGUGACAGUCAAAGACAAGCACUGAAUUGUUCUAACCUCAUUUCCAACACCUGGCCCAUAGCCUUGCAUGGCUUGGAUAACACUUGCACAUUUAAAAAAAAUGUAAGGAUGAUGAUUGUGAUGUUGGUAACUGGAAAGCCUCCAUUGUUGGAGGACGAGAAGCCGUAUCUAAUUGAAGCAGCACGGGCUUUUGCGAUGACUGUGGAAACCACUGCUUAUGCCUUGCUUCAAGCAUUGUCAAGGAAUGAUUUUGACUAUGCAACACCGAUUGUGAGGUGGCUAACGAUGCAACAGAACUAUGGUGGUGGAUUUCACUCGACGCAGGUAAAUGCUUGAGAUCACAA
This is a long non-coding RNA of Stegostoma tigrinum, 833 nucleotides long. RefSeq lists it as uncharacterized. The transcript has 4 exons. The record is from RefSeq and is a predicted model, not a curated record. NCBI's taxonomy places the organism in Eukaryota, Metazoa, Chordata, Chondrichthyes, Orectolobiformes, Stegostomatidae.